AUUCGAGCGGACAGAAGGGAGCUUGCUCCCGGAUGUUAGCGGCGGACGGGUGAGUAACACGUGGGUAACCUGCCUGUAAGACUGGGAUAACUCCGGGAAACCGGAGCUAAUACCGGAUAGUUCCUUGAACCGCAUGGUUCAAGGAUGAAAGACGGUUUCGGCUGUCACUUACAGAUGGACCCGCGGCGCAUUAGCUAGUUGGUGGGGUAAUGGCUCACCAAGGCGACGAUGCGUAGCCGACCUGAGAGGGUGAUCGGCCACACUGGGACUGAGACACGGCCCAGACUCCUACGGGAGGCAGCAGUAGGGAAUCUUCCGCAAUGGACGAAAGUCUGACGGAGCAACGCCGCGUGAGUGAUGAAGGUUUUCGGAUCGUAAAGCUCUGUUGUUAGGGAAGAACAAGUGCGAGAGUAACUGCUCGCACCUUGACGGUACCUAACCAGAAAGCCACGGCUAACUACGUGCCAGCAGCCGCGGUAAUACGUAGGUGGCAAGCGUUGUCCGGAAUUAUUGGGCGUAAAGGGCUCGCAGGCGGUUUCUUAAGUCUGAUGUGAAAGCCCCCGGCUCAACCGGGGAGGGUCAUUGGAAACUGGGAAACUUGAGUGCAGAAGAGGAGAGUGGAAUUCCACGUGUAGCGGUGAAAUGCGUAGAGAUGUGGAGGAACACCAGUGGCGAAAGGCGACUCUCUGGUCUGUA
This 696-nucleotide ribosomal RNA is filed under the name Bacillus pumilus. RNAcentral's name for it is "bacterial SSU rRNA". It matches the Rfam family "Bacterial small subunit ribosomal RNA", at positions 60 to 738 of the family's 1533-position model. The record is from RNAcentral. Lineage: Bacteria; Bacillati; Bacillota; Bacilli; Caryophanales; Bacillaceae.